This is a small nuclear RNA of Capra hircus (goat), 107 nucleotides long. The record is from Ensembl. Lineage: Eukaryota; Metazoa; Chordata; Mammalia; Artiodactyla; Bovidae.
GUGCUCACUUUGGCAGUGCACAGCCUAAAAUCUGAAGGAGACAGAGAUGACUAGCGUGGCCCCUGUGCAAGGAUGACAUGUAGAUUUGUGAAGCAUUCUAUAUUUAA